Molecule: ribosomal RNA, 250 nt
Filed under: uncultured prokaryote
Description: partial 16S ribosomal RNA
Rfam family: Bacterial small subunit ribosomal RNA
Source: RNAcentral
UACGUAGGGGGCGAGCGUUGUCCGGAAUGAUUGGGCGUAAAGGGCGUGUAGGCGGCUGAUUAAGUCUGGAAUGAAAGUCCUGCUUUCAAGGUGGGAAUUGCUUUGGAUACUGGUCAGCCUGAGUGCAGGAGAGGUUAUCGGAAUUCCCGGUGUAGCGGUGAAAUGCGUAGAGAUCGGGAGGGACACCAGUGGCGAAGGCGGGUAACUGGACUGCAACUGACGCUGAGGCGCGAAAGUGAGGGGAGCAAAC